Molecule: ribosomal RNA, 463 nt
Filed under: Clostridioides difficile
Lineage: Bacteria; Bacillati; Bacillota; Clostridia; Peptostreptococcales; Peptostreptococcaceae
Description: bacterial LSU rRNA
Rfam family: Bacterial large subunit ribosomal RNA
Source: RNAcentral
UGUGGUGGGGCGCUAAAUUUGGGAGCUAAGGUGCUCAUGUCACCAUGUCAAGAACAGUCUCGAACUGGGCUAGAUGUACCNGUACCGCAGACCGUGACAGGUGGGUGAGGAGAGUUUCCUAGGGCCGUCGAGCGCACUGUUGUUAAGGACCUCGGCAAAAUGACCCCGUAACUUAGGGAUAAGGGGUGCCACCAGCAGGUGGCCGCAGAGAAUAGGCCCAAGCGACUGUUUACCAAACACAUAGGUUUCUGCGAAGUCGCAAGACGAGGUAUAGGAGCUGACGCCUGCCCGGUGCUGGAAGGUUAAGGGGGUCUGUUAGAGAAAUAGCAGCAGUGAACUUAAGCACCAGUAAACGGCGGCAGUAACUAUUACGGGCUUAGGGAAGCGAAAUAUCUUGUCGGGUGUGAUCCGACCCGACCGACAGACGCAACGCAUUCGGCUCUGUCGCGACAUCAGCCACGGU